AACGUCCGUCGUGAAGAGGGAAACAACCCAGACCGCCAGCUAAGGUCCCAAAGUCAUGGUUAAGUGGGAAACGAUGUGGGAAGGCCCAGACAGCCAGGAUGUUGGCUUAGAAGCAGCCAUCAUUUAAAGAAAGCGUAAUAGCUCACUGGUCGAGUCGGCCUGCGCGGAAGAUGUAACGGGGCUAAACCAUGCACCGAAGCUGCGGCAGCGACGCUGAUGCGUUGUUGGGUAGGGGAGCGUUCUGUAAGCCUGCGAAGGUGUGCUGUGAGGCAUGCUGGAGGUAUCAGAAGUGCGAAUGCUGACAUAAGUAACGAUAAAGCGGGUGAAAAGCCCGCUCGCCGGAAGACCAAGGGUUCCUGUCCAACGUUAAUCGGGGCAGGGUGAGUCGACCCCUAAGGCGAGGCCGAAAGGCGUAGUCGAUGGGAAACAGGUUAAUAUUCCUGUACUUGGUGUUACUGCGAAGGGGGGACGGAGAAGGCUAUGUUGGCCGGGCGACGGUUGUCCCGGUUUAAGCGUGUAGGCUGGU
RNAcentral lists this ribosomal RNA (526 nucleotides) under Escherichia coli. RNAcentral describes it as "partial 23S ribosomal RNA". It matches the Rfam family "Bacterial large subunit ribosomal RNA", at positions 1000 to 1529 of the family's 2925-position model. The record is from RNAcentral. Lineage: Bacteria; Pseudomonadati; Pseudomonadota; Gammaproteobacteria; Enterobacterales; Enterobacteriaceae.